AGAACCAGACGGGGGGGAGAACCAGACAGAGGAGGAGAACCAAAGAGAGGAGGAGAACCAGAGAGAGGAGGAGAACCAAUGGGAGGCUUCAUCCAAUGUCAUGGGGGUGUCUAUGCUGUAACUAAACAUAAGUUGGUGUCAUGCAACACAUUUGUUGUAAUAUUCAGACGAAGUCAGCGUCUGUUUUGUAGUUUCCACUUUGAUAGAAAAUGAAGGAAAAUGGAUGACGACGUCUCAAUGGAUCCUCCUCAGAAUCUAGACAACAAAGAGAGAAAUUCACAGCAAAAGUCCUCAGAGGAUGAAAAUUCAAUCAAGAUUGUAGUUUGUGAAACUCGUUAAAGCUGCAUAAAAACUCCAGUGUGAAACAACAACAGGUCAAAGUUUCAAAGGGGGGCCGUCUUCACCAACCUGAGGCUCUUUCCACUUCUCAGCUGACUGACCAGAACCUGUGGGGGUUCUGGUUCUGCACUGGAUUCUACUCACAACAUCAGUACUUUAAGCCACAUAAGCAGCAGGGAGGAGGAGCUUCCUGUCAGAAGCCGUCAUUUUAUUGGAGAUGACUUCCUGUCAUUCCGUGAAUCUAGAUCUGAUGGGACUGAUGGUGAGAUUACAAAGACGUGAUCUUCUGCUUUAAGGUCAGGAAAAGGUCACGGUCCUGAUGUCUCCUCACAUCGUAAACAAAGGUUGUUUGUGACGUUUUGGCGCGUUAUCAAUCGCCAAAACGCCAUUGAUUGGAGGACGGGUGUUUCCGGAAUCAAACCCCGAUGGACCUUCACCCGGCUGACCGUCAGUCAGGACUGGAACCAAGAGAAAAGGUUUGGACUCAGGAACGGAGGCGUCUGCUGUGGAACAUCUGCAGCUUUUGCUGAGGGCCACUCUCAAUGCUAUGAGGGCAUUAAGCUCCUCCCACU
Molecule: long non-coding RNA, 911 nt
Organism: Oryzias latipes (Japanese medaka)
Lineage: Eukaryota; Metazoa; Chordata; Actinopteri; Beloniformes; Adrianichthyidae
Source: RefSeq, a predicted model, not a curated record